AGGACUAUGUCAAAAAGAAACCGAAGUUGAUAAGUGCAAGUGAUGAAGCAAGUACAAUUACCUCUAAGUCUUCUGAACCAGAAGAAGUGAACCCUAUAGCCUGGGCAGUUCCUACAAAACAUGAGGGCGAUGCUAGUGAAGAAGCUUCUCUCGCCGAUGAGACACUUGCAUCAGAAGUAGUGCUAACCCGGAAGAGGAAAAUAGGAAGCUCUUUGUCAGUAGAGCCAAACCAUCUCUUUGAUGAAUUUGAACCAAAGUUCGAGGAUGCUUAAACCUGCAGGAGUGGCCCCUCUGGAGUUGAAUAUGCAGUUAUAACCAAUUUUUACCCCUUUUAUCCUAGAAGAGUU
Molecule: long non-coding RNA, 347 nt
Organism: Zea mays
Lineage: Eukaryota; Viridiplantae; Streptophyta; Magnoliopsida; Poales; Poaceae
Exons: 3
Source: RefSeq, a predicted model, not a curated record